CAAAACCUUAAACUUUUGUCUUUCCAGGAACGGUAAUGGUAGGAGAGAGAGAGCAGGGAUUGGGGAAUGCUGCCCCCCCAAAGUUUCUGUGGCUGCGCUUAGCACCCCAACCAUCCUCCUUUGUCCUCAGUGGAUCUAAAGUUUGAUACCCCAGGAGGGGAGCGCUUCACCGUCUGUACACUUUGCUGGUUAAUCAACGUCCAGGCAAGAGAGAGCCUCUCGGGUCGCCAGAAAGAUAACUGUCUUGGAAAGUGAACGGGAAAGACACUUGGAAUGAGAUAUCUGACACCUGGGUGCCUCUUUGUCUUUGCAGGAAGUGGUUACCUGGAAGGAAAGGAGCUGCAGAACUUGAUCCAGGAGCUCCAGCAGGCGCGAAAGAAGGCUGGAUUGGAGUUAUCACCUGAAAUGAAAACUUUUGUGGAUCAGUAUGGGCAAAGAGAUGAUGGAAAAAUAGGAAUUGUAGAGUUGGCUCACGUAUUACCCACAGAAGAGAAUUUCCUGCUGCUCUUCCGAUGCCAGCAGCUGAAGUCCUGU
This 534-nucleotide long non-coding RNA is filed under the name Homo sapiens (human). RNAcentral describes it as "non-protein coding lnc-NBN-3:3". The record is from RNAcentral. Lineage: Eukaryota; Metazoa; Chordata; Mammalia; Primates; Hominidae.